GAUGAACGCUAGCGGCAGGCUUAAUACAUGCAAGUCGAGGGGUAACAUGGGGUAGCAAUACUCUGAUGACGACCGGCAAACGGGUGCGGAACACGUACGCAACUUUCCCAAACUGGUGAAUAGCCCUCCGAAAGGAGGAUUAAUACACCGUAACAUAUAGAGGUGGCAUCGCCUUUAUAUUAUAGCUCCGGCGGUUUUGGAUGGGCGUGCGCCUGAUUAGGUAGUUGGUGUGGUAACGGCUCACCAAGCCUACGAUCAGUAACUGGUGUGAGAGCACGACCAGUCACACGGGCACUGAGACACGGGCCCGACUCCUACGGGAGGCAGCAGUGGGGAAUUUUGCGCAAUGGGCGAAAGCCUGACGCAGCAACGCCGCGUGGGUGAUGAAGGUCUUCGGAUUGUAAAACCCUGUCGCCAGGGACGAAGGCGCUUCGGUUAAUAACCGGGGUGCUUGACGGUACCUGGAAAGGAAGCCCCGGCUAACUCUGUGCCAGCAGCCGCGGUAAA
Molecule: ribosomal RNA, 507 nt
Filed under: uncultured bacterium
Lineage: Bacteria
Description: bacterial SSU rRNA
Rfam family: Bacterial small subunit ribosomal RNA
Source: RNAcentral